This 672-nucleotide ribosomal RNA is filed under the name Scrippsiella trochoidea. Its description in RNAcentral is "partial Bacterial large subunit ribosomal RNA". It matches the Rfam family "Bacterial large subunit ribosomal RNA", at positions 29 to 751 of the family's 2925-position model. Lineage: Eukaryota; Dinophyceae; Peridiniales; Peridiniaceae. The record is from RNAcentral.
UGCCUAGGCAGUAAGAGGCGAUGAAGGACGUUGUAGUCUGCGAUAAGCCCGGGGGAGCUGACAAACAAGCUUUGAUCCCGGGAUUUCCGAAUGGGGAAACCCGGCCGUAAGGUCAUCAUGCACUGAAUACAUAGGUGUAUGAAGCAAACCCAGGGAACUGAAUCAUCUAAGUACCUGGAGGAAAAGAAAUCAACCGAGAUUCCCUUAGUAGCGGCGAGCGAACGGGGAACAGCCAGCAAUCUUUAUCCAUUAUGUUAGGAGAACGGUCUGGAAAGUCCGGCAAUAAAAGGUGAUAGCCCUGUAUCUGAAAACAUUUUGGAAGAACUAGGUUUGCAAUAAGUAGGUCGGAGCACGUGUAACUUUGACUGAAGAUGGGGGGACCAUCCUCCAAGGCUAAAUACUCCUUACUGACCGAUAGUGAACUAGUACCGUGAGGGAAAGGCGAAAAGAACCCCGGCGAGGGGAGUGAAAUAGAACCUGAAACCGGAUGCGUACAAGCAGUAGGAGCCCUUCGGGGUGACUGCGUACCUUUUGUAUAAUGGGUCAGCGACUUAUAUUUAGUAGCGAGGUUAAGUGAAUAACGGAGCCGUAGCGAAAGCGAGUGUUAACUGCGCGUUUAGUUGCUAGGUAUAGACCCGAAACCCGGUGAUCUAGCCAUGGGCAGGUUGAAGG